GGGGAAUAUUGGGCAAUGGGCGAAAGCCUGACCCAGCAACGCCGCGUGAGGGAAGAAGGUCUUCGGAUUGUAAACCUUUGUCCUAUGGGACGAAACAAAUGACGGUACCAUAGGAGGAAGCUCCGGCUAACUACGUGCCAGCAGCCGCGGUAAUACGUAGGGAGCAAGCGUUGUCCGGAAUUACUGGGCGUAAAGGGUGCGUAGGUGGCCAAAUAAGUCAGGUGUGAAAGACCGGGGCUCAACCCCGGGGUUGCACUUGAAACUGUAUGGCUUGAGUACAGGAGAGGGAAGUGGAAUUCCUAGUGUAGCGGUGAAAUGCGUAGAUAUUAGGAGGAACACCAGUGGCGAAGGCGACUUUCUGGACUGUAACUGACACUGAGGCACGAAAGCGUGGGGAGCAAACA
RNAcentral lists this ribosomal RNA (404 nucleotides) under uncultured Eubacteriales bacterium. RNAcentral describes it as "bacterial SSU rRNA". It matches the Rfam family "Bacterial small subunit ribosomal RNA", at positions 356 to 774 of the family's 1533-position model. Lineage: Bacteria; Bacillati; Bacillota; Clostridia; Eubacteriales. The record is from RNAcentral.